ACCCGGGUAGUUUAAUCAAAAUAUUGAUUUGUGGUGUCAAAGAUAUGAUAUGUCAUCCCGGGUC
RNAcentral lists this transfer RNA (64 nucleotides) under Maccaffertium mediopunctatum. RNAcentral's name for it is "tRNA-His". Lineage: Eukaryota; Metazoa; Arthropoda; Insecta; Ephemeroptera; Heptageniidae. The record is from RNAcentral.